CAACAUCUUUCAUCAAAUUUAAUAGUGACUGCUGAUGGCUACUUCACUGUCUGGAACUCGCAUGCCCGACUUGAAAUUCGUUGGUUUAAGAUAUUGAGAGGAAAGGUUAAAGUGUGGAGAUCCAUAUCCCUUUUAUCAAUUUUCAUAUUAUUGUUGUGUUGGCUUUUGGUGUGGAACUCUCAUGGUUGGGAUCAAUGAAGGUUAGAAUCACCACAAUUGUAUUUCUGGGAAGGAAUCGUGUGCCACGACGAGCUUUUACUUUUCAUCACCCUGUCUUGGUUGUGCUGCAGUUGUAAAGAUUGUUCAUUUUUCUUCUUUUUUUUUUGGGGUGCGUUUUGUGCGUGUGAUUUUGGAUUCUCUGUUACGUGUUAUUAGUGAUGUAAAUUUAAUAAUGAUCUUCUCAUUUCAAUGUCUCGUUCUGAAAUUCUUGUGUCAGUC
Long non-coding RNA from Telopea speciosissima, 438 nucleotides. RefSeq lists it as uncharacterized. The record is from RefSeq and is a predicted model, not a curated record. NCBI's taxonomy places the organism in Eukaryota, Viridiplantae, Streptophyta, Magnoliopsida, Proteales, Proteaceae. The transcript is spliced from 3 exons.